Molecule: ribosomal RNA, 1205 nt
Filed under: uncultured bacterium
Lineage: Bacteria
Description: bacterial SSU rRNA
Rfam family: Bacterial small subunit ribosomal RNA
Source: RNAcentral
AGAGUUUGAUCAUGGCUCAGAUUGAACGCUGGCGGCGUGGCUAAAGCAUGCAAGUCGUACGUGCCCGCAAGGGCAAGUGGCGGACGGGUCAGUAAUACGAUCGAACGUACCCUGAGGUGGAGGAUAGCGGCGGGAAACUGCCGGUAAUACUCCAUGAUCUCUCCGGAGCAAAGGGCAACCGCCUUUGGAUCGGCGAUCGUCCUAUCAGCUAGUUGGCGGGGUAACGGCCCACCAAGGCUAUGACGGGUAGCAGGUGUGAGAGCAUGACCUGCGACAUCGGGACUGAGACACUGCCCGGACUCCUACGGGAGGCUGCAGCGACGAAUCUUCCGCAAUGGGCGCAAGCCUGACGGAGCGACGCCGCGUGUGGGAUGAAGCGCCUCCGGCGUGUAAACCACUGUCAGGGGACGGAACCAAUGAUCGUCCCCAAAGGAAGAGACGGCUAACCCUGUGCCAGCAGCCGCGGUAAGACAGGGGUCUCGAGCGUUAAUCGGAAUCACUGGGCUUAAAGGGUGCGUAGGCGGACCCGAACGCGUCCCGUGAAAUCCCCCGGCUCAACCGGGGAACUGCGGGGCGAACGGUGGGUCUCGAGGCAGGUAGGGGUCGCCGGAACCGUAGGUGGAGCGGUGAAAUGCGUAGAUAUCUACGGGAACGCCGAUGGUGAAGACGGGCGACUGGGCCUGUCCUGACGCUGAGGCACGAAAGCGUGGGGAGCAAACAGGAUUAGAUACCCUGGUAGUCCACGCCGUAAACGAUGCGCGCUAGAUCGGUGCGGCUCUGACGCCGUAUCGGUCGGAGUAAAAACGAUAAGCGCGCCGCCUGGGGAGUACGGUCGCAAGGCUAAAACUCAAAGGAAUUGACGGGGGCUCACACAAGCGGUGGAGCAUGUUGCUUAAUUCGAUGCAACGCGAGAACCUUACCUGGGUUUGACAUGGCCGGAUUAGCUCUCGGAAACGGGAGUACACCCCGCAGGUGGAACGGUCACAGGUGCUGCAUGGCUGUCGUCAGCUCGUGCUGUGAAGUGUCGGGUUAAGUCCCUUACGAGCGCAACCCCUGUCGUAGUGCUCCGGGGCAGCAGUACUCUAGCGAGACUGCCGUUGUAGAACGAGAAGGUGGGGAUUAACUUCAAGUCUCUCAUGGCUUAUGUCCAGGGUUGUCAACGUGCUUCAUGGGGCGCCCAACUCAACCCAGGGCCCCAGAGGGGG